GGCUCUAGUUUUGUCUUAUCUUGAUUAUUUUCCAGUCAUAUAGUCAAGUGCUGCAAAGAAAGACCUAGCUGCAGCUGGCCCAGAACAGAGCAGCACGUCUUGCUCUUCAUUGUAAUCAGAGGGCUGAUAUAAAUACUAUGCAUGCCAGUUGUUACAUCUGCUCCUGCUACGCCCUCUACUUCUCCCUAACCUGCCGCCACUCCCCCAGUGCUCUCUUCCUCUCUGUGCGUGUGUGAUUGUGUGGGCGGAGACAGGUGUGCUGCAACCUGUUCCAUAAUCAAGACCUCUACAAAUUCUGUCUGUCCUUGAGCUGUUCUUGUCUAUUAAUGUUCUGUAUUAUGUCAUGUUUCAUGUUCUGUGUAGACCCCAGGAAGAGUAGCUCCGGCUUUCGCAACAGCUAAUGGGGAUCCUAAUAAAAUACCAAAAAUACCAUGAUCAUUGUAAUCCCUCACCGAACACUCUGGUUUUUACCUUUCCAAACAUGUCUCUUUGUGGGCCUCCGUAUUUUAGAUUUGUCACGUUUGAGCAGGAAAAAUGUAUUUCAGUAAACACAAGGGGUAAAUAAUGCUGAAGUGUCACAUACUGUAGUUCCAGCAUUCACAGAGACAGGAGGUCUCUGCAUGAGGAGCAAACUUGCCAAGACAGCGAUGAAACAUACAAACACUAACCCCAGUGAAGAAUGUUCUUAUAACACUUCCAUUCUGCAGCUUAUCAUGUUCUAAUGACCGUUUACUGACCUCUAUUCAGGCUUUAGCAAUUGGCUCCCCAUGCCCACUGCUACUCCUCGGAUUGGCUGCUCACCAACUCCAUCGAUUACUGUGAAUGAGACCGAGCACUGCAGAACAUACACAGAUAUACAGGAUCCUGAACUGAGGAGAAAGUUACCCAAUAUUCUGGAAUUGGACUGAGGAGAAAGUUACCCAAUAUUCUGGAAUUGGACUGAGGAGAAAGUUACCCAAUAUUCUGGAAUUGGACUGAGGAGAAAGUUACCCAAUAUUCUGGAAUUUGACCUUUUUAAGAAUCAAAUGGACAGAGCAUGAGAUUCUCCACCACUGACUUUCUAUACUAUAGUUGGAAAAACUCAGUGAAUCCUGAAUCGUAACUUGUGAAAGAAGCCCACAACUUGAAUUCAUAAAUAUCUCCCAUAAUAAUAUUUGCGUUGUAUGCACGUCUCAAGUUGUAAGAUGUGUCCCUUAGAGUAAUAAUAGCACAAAGCCAAUAUACCCCACGUAUUCCAUCUUGUUUUGACUUUAUACAAACUAAAUAUGUAUAUUAUACAUGCUGUUUAUCUUUUAAUACAUCUUUUCCAAAUAUGUUUUGUUUCGGUUUGAUAUUCUGUUAUGAAAAUAUAAUGCUUUCUACAACCAUGGUACAUUUUGUCUCUUCUCUAUGGUCAAUGGUUUAUAGUCUAUGCUUUAAUGACAUGCAGAUGUGAAAUGAGACAACCCAUGUAUUAGUUAUAGGGUUCUAAUUAUCUUCCCUUCCCUAGAAAAGCAUUUAAAAGAGAAUUAUAUGUUAACAAUAAAACAGAGAAAUCCCCAAUGAGGUGCAAGGAGGCUUUAGAGCCAUUUAACAUCUUCUGUUUAUUUGAGUUCCUUUUGUAUUCUGACAUGAUCUCAGAGACAGGAUUGUUCUUUCUGAACUGCAGCCAAGAAACGG
Molecule: long non-coding RNA, 1659 nt
Filed under: Salmo salar (Atlantic salmon)
Lineage: Eukaryota; Metazoa; Chordata; Actinopteri; Salmoniformes; Salmonidae
Description: lncRNA (ENSSSAG00000122034.1)
Source: RNAcentral